GUCGUACGCUUCUUUUUCCACCGGAGCUUGCUCCACCGGAAAAAGAAGAGUGGCGAACGGGUGAGUAACACGUGGGUAACCUGCCCAUCAGAAGGGGAUAACACUUGGAAACAGGUGCUAAUACCGUAUAACAAUCAAAACCGCAUGGUUUUGAUUUGAAAGGCGCUUUCGGGUGUCGCUGAUGGAUGGACCCGCGGUGCAUUAGCUAGUUGGUGAGGUAACGGCUCACCAAGGCCACGAUGCAUAGCCGACCUGAGAGGGUGAUCGGCCACAUUGGGACUGAGACACGGCCCAAACUCCUACGGGAGGCAGCAGUAGGGAAUCUUCGGCAAUGGACGAAAGUCUGACCGAGCAACGCCGCGUGAGUGAAGAAGGUUUUCGGAUCGUAAAACUCUGUUGUUAGAGAAGAACAAGGAUGAGAGUAACUGUUCAUCCCUUGACGGUAUCUAACCAGAAAGCCACGGCUAACUACGUGCCAGCAGCCGCGGUAAUACGUAGGUGGCAAGCGUUGUCCGGAUUUAUUGGGCGUAAAGCGAGCGCAGGCGGUUUCUUAAGUCUGAUGUGAAAGCCCCCGGCUCAACCGGGGAGGGUCAUUGGAAACUGGGAGACUUGAGUGCAGAAGAGGAGAGUGGAAUUCCAUGUGUAGCGGUGAAAUGCGUAGAUAUAUGGAGGAACACCAGUGGCGAAGGCGGCUCUCUGGUCUGUAACUGACGCUGAGGCUCGAAAGCGUGGGGAGCAAACAGGAUUAGAUACCCUGGUAG
This 761-nucleotide ribosomal RNA is filed under the name Enterococcus faecalis. RNAcentral's name for it is "bacterial SSU rRNA". It matches the Rfam family "Bacterial small subunit ribosomal RNA", at positions 61 to 793 of the family's 1533-position model. The record is from RNAcentral. Lineage: Bacteria; Bacillati; Bacillota; Bacilli; Lactobacillales; Enterococcaceae.